This 520-nucleotide ribosomal RNA is filed under the name uncultured Glomus. RNAcentral describes it as "SSU rRNA". It matches the Rfam family "Eukaryotic small subunit ribosomal RNA", at positions 569 to 1089 of the family's 1831-position model. Lineage: Eukaryota; Fungi; Glomeromycota; Glomeromycetes; Glomerales; Glomeraceae. The record is from RNAcentral.
AGCAGCCGCGGUAAUCCCAGCUCCAAUAGCGUAUAUUAAAGUUGUUGCAGUUAAAAAGCUCGUAGUUGAAUUUCGGGGUCAGUAGGUUGGUCGUGCCACCGGUACGUACUGGUCUCACUGAUUCCUCCUUCCUGAAGAACCGUAAUGCCAUUAAUUUGGUGUUGCGGGGAAACAGGACUGUUACUUUGAAAAAAUUAGAGUGUUUAAAGCAGGCUAACGCUUGAAUACAUUAGCAUGGAAUAAUGAAAUAGGACGAUCGAUCCUAUUUUGUUGGUUUCUAGGAUUGACGUAAUGAUUAAUAGGGAUAGUUGGGGGCAUUAGUAUUCAAUUGUCAGAGGUGAAAUUCUUGGAUUUAUUGAAGACUAACUACUGCGAAAGCAUUUGCCAAGGAUGUUUUCAUUAAUCAAGAACGAAAGUUAGGGGAUCGAAGACGAUCAGAUACCGUCGUAGUCUUAACCAUAAACUGUGCCGACUAGGGAUCGGAUGAUGUUAAAUUUUAUAAUGACUCAUUCGGCGCCUU